AUGGAUCGUGGGGGUCGUGGGAUUGUGGGCGCAGUAAAUCCCCACGUCCGCCCCCUCGGCUUCGCAGCCCACGAGGCUAUAAGUAGGGGGAAGAGGGGGGCACGCGCGCCCCUCCUUCCCACUACUCCUCGUUCUCUUCCUCCUUGCUGCUCCUCGCUCUCCUCCUUCCUCUUCUCUUCUUCGCUCCGCCGCACGCCCAAGCUCCGGCGAACGCUGCGGCGACAGCUCGCGAUGAGUUCUUCCUCCGCCGCCGCGCCUCCCCCAGUGCGCUCCGGCACCUGGGACGGCUCCGAAGUUCAUGAAGACCACAUUGAGUUCCUCCACCAGACCCGUCGGCUUCCCGGCGAGGAUCACGUGCAGGUGUGUCUUGCGCCGAAGGUGGAGAUUUCCCCCGCACCGCAGGAGGGCGAGCGGGUCAUCUUCCGCUCGGACUGCCUGCGCGGGCUGGGGCUGCCGGCGAGCAGUUUCUUCCAGUCCUUCCUGGAGUUCCACGGCCUCCAGCCGCACCACCUCACCCCCAACGAAGUGGUGCUGCUAUUCGCCUUCGUGGCCAUGUGCGAAGGCUUCCUCGGAGUCCUCCCCACCCUCGAGCUCUGGGGGGAGUUCUUCUUCUCCAAGCUCUGCACCCAGGUUGCGGGCGUGCCAGCUCAGUGCGGCGCUUUCAUCAUCGUGCGAAGGUCGGGGGCCGACAAUCCCUUCCCCUCCAUCUCACUGAUCAAGUCGGUGAAGAUGUGGCAGAGAUCCUACUUCUACGUCAAGAACGCCUCUGCGAGGGGAGACUGGGUCAACUUGCCGGCUUUCGAAGCCGGCCCACCGGCUGGGCGACUGCCCAACUGGUCAUACCGGGCCAAGUCGCUGACGCCUUCGGGAGCCGGCGCCAUCAUGCGACUCCGAGUGCUGACGCAGUCGGAGGGUGUGACUGGUCCAGAUAUGUUGGCCGCCUUCGUUUCGCACCGAGUUCUCCCACUCCAAGGCCGCCCUCAUAUGAUAUGCCUGAUGAGCGGGCACCGCGACCCGAGUCGGAUGUGCACCAAGGACAUGCCUCACGAAGAGGUGGCCAUCAUGGUGAACUACCUCUCGGACAACAGGCUCCUAGAGGACUGGCGAUUCGGCAAGGAGCCGUACUCCCGCGCCAACCCCCCGCCCGUGGUGAGUCACCUUUCUUUUCUUUCUUUGGGUUGUCUUCUUCUUGCCUAG
Molecule: ribosomal RNA, 1197 nt
Filed under: Triticum aestivum (bread wheat)
Lineage: Eukaryota; Viridiplantae; Streptophyta; Magnoliopsida; Poales; Poaceae
Description: partial small subunit ribosomal RNA
Source: RNAcentral